Molecule: ribosomal RNA, 462 nt
Filed under: uncultured bacterium
Lineage: Bacteria
Description: partial 16S ribosomal RNA
Rfam family: Bacterial small subunit ribosomal RNA
Source: RNAcentral
GAUCAACGCUGGCGGCGUGCUUAACACAUGCAAGUCGAACGAAGUUUUUCUUUCGGGAGGAACUUAGUGGCGGACGGGUGAGUAACGCGUGGGUAACCUGCCCUGUACAGGGGGACAACAGCUGGAAACGGCUGCUAAUACCGCAUAAGCCCUUAGCACUGCAUGGUGCAUAGGGAAAAGGAGCAAUCCGGUACAGGAUGGACCCGCGUCUGAUUAGCCAGUUGGCAGGGUAACGGCCUACCAAAGCGAUGAUCAGUAGCCGAUCUGAGAGGAUGUACGGCCACAUUGGGACUGAGACACGGCCCAGACUCCUACGGGAGGCAGCAGUGGGGAAUAUUGCACAAUGGAGGAAACUCUGAUGCAGCGACGCCGCGUGAGUGAAGAAGUAUUUCGGUAUGUAAAGCUCUAUCAGCAGGGAAGAAAAUGACGGUACCUGACGAAGAAGCACCGGCUAAAUACGUG